RNAcentral lists this ribosomal RNA (241 nucleotides) under Oxyartes spinipennis. Its description in RNAcentral is "partial 12S ribosomal RNA". The record is from RNAcentral. Lineage: Eukaryota; Metazoa; Arthropoda; Insecta; Phasmatodea; Lonchodidae.
UAAACUAGGAUUAGAUACCCUAUUAUUAUAUAUGUUAAUUUUUACUAGGGUAUUAUUAGCUAUGUUCUUUAAACCUAAAGAAUUUGGCGGUGUUUUAAUCUAUUUAGAGGAAUUUGUACUAUUAUCGAUAAUCCUCGAUUUAUCUUGCUUUAUUUUGUUUAUCAGUAUGUAUACCGCCGUUAUAAGUUUAUUUUAUUAGAAUUAUUAAUUUACUUUUUUCUUUAAUAAGAUUUAUUUCAGU